Molecule: ribosomal RNA, 435 nt
Filed under: uncultured bacterium
Lineage: Bacteria
Description: partial 16S ribosomal RNA
Rfam family: Bacterial small subunit ribosomal RNA
Source: RNAcentral
AGCGAACGCUGGCGGCAGGCCUAACACAUGCAAGUCGAGCGGGCAUCUUCGGAUGUCAGCGGCAGACGGGUGAGUAACACGUGGGAACGUACCCUUCGGUUCGGAACAACUCUGGGAAACUGGAGCUAAUACCGGAUACGCCCUUAUGGGGAAAGGUUUACUGCCGAAGGAUCGGCCCGCGUCUGAUUAGCUAGUUGGUGGGGUAACGGCCUACCAAGGCGACGAUCAGUAGCUGGUCUGAGAGGAUGAUCAGCCACACUGGGACUGAGACACGGCCCAGACUCCUACGGGAGGCAGCAGUGGGGAAUAUUGGACAAUGGGCGCAAGCCUGAUCCAGCCAUGCCGCGUGAGUGAUGAAGGCCUUAGGGUUGUAAAGCUCUUUUGUCCGGGACGAUAAUGACGGUACCGGAAGAAUAAGCCCCGGCUAACUUCGUG